This 2750-nucleotide long non-coding RNA is filed under the name Capra hircus (goat). RNAcentral's name for it is "lncRNA (ENSCHIG00000005322.1)". The record is from RNAcentral. Lineage: Eukaryota; Metazoa; Chordata; Mammalia; Artiodactyla; Bovidae.
CCUGUCUGUCUUGGGUGGCCUGACAAGGCAUGGUUCAUAGUUUGAGUUAGUGAAGGUUGUGGUCUAUGUGAUCAAUUUGGUUAGUUUUCUGUGACUGUGGUUUUCAUUCUUUCUGCCCUCUGAUGGGUAAGGAUUAGAGGGUUAUGGGAGUUUUCUUCCCUGGUAGCUCAGAGGUUAAAGCGUAUGCCUGCAAUGCGGGAGACCUGGAUUUGAUCCCUGGGUCGGAAAGAUCCCCUGGAAAAGGAAAUGGCAACCCACUCCAGUAUUCUUGCCUGGAGAAUCCCAUGGACGGAGGAACCUAGUGGGCUACAGUCCACGGGGUCGCUAAGAGUUGGACACGACUGAGCGACUUCACUUUCACUUUCCUAAUGGGAGAGCCUGACUUUGGGGGAAACUGGAUCUUGUUCUGAUGGGAGGGGCCAUGGGAAAAAGCCAAGAAGCAAGCCCUUGAAGGAUUCCAAGCACAGAGAAACCUUUCCACAGCAAGGAGUUAAGAACAUGGGACAUUCGGAGCCCAUUAGGUGUGGCCACCCCUGGACUGGAGGAAGUAACUUGAUGGGUACUCAGGCACCAAUUAAAGUGCUGAACUCCUUGGCAAAAGUACCCUGGCCUCAGGCCCCUGGCAUUCUUCCACGGAGUUCCCAGCACAGAAGGCAUGCCCACCCAUGGGCUCUGUCAUGCGAGUGUGUGGAGAGUGCAUCUUAUACUCUGUAUACAGAGUACAACUUAUAUGGAGAGUACCUCAUGCUAAAUGCCAGGCUGGAUGAAGUAAAGCUGAAAUUAAAAUUUUCAGAAAGAAUUAUCAUUAACCUCAGAUAUGCAGAUGAUACCACCCUUAUGGCAGAAACUGAAGAGGAGCUAAAGAGCCUCUUGAUGAAGGUGAAAGAGAGUGAAAAAGUUGGCUUGAAACUGAGCAUUCAAAAACUAAGAUCCUGGCAUCCAGUCCCAUCACUUCAUGGCAAAUAGAGGGGGAAACAGUGGAAACAGUGAUAGACUUUCUUUUCUCAGGUUCCAAAAUCACUGCAGAUGGUGACUGCAGCCAUGAAAUUAAAAGACAUUUACACCUUGGAAGAAAAGCUAUGACCAACCUAGACAGCAUAUUAAAAAGCCAAGAUAUUAUUUUGCCAACAAAGGUCCACAUAGUCAAAGCUAUGGUUUUCCCAGUAGUCAUAUAUGAAUGUGAGAGCUGGAACAUAAAGAAAGCUGAGCUCUGAACAAUUGAUGCUUUUGAACUGUGGUGUUGGAGAAGACUCUUCAGCGUCCCUUCGACCACAAGGAGAUCCAACCAGCCCCUCCUUAAGGAGAUCAGUCCUGAGUGUUCAUUGGACAGACUGAUGCUGAAGCUGAAACUCCAAUAACUUUGGCCACCUGAUGCGAAGAAAUGACUCACUGGAAAAGACCCUUAUGCUGGGAAAGAUUGAAGACAGGAUUAGAAGGGAUGAGUGGGAGUGAGAUGGUUGGAUGGCAUCACUGACUCAAUGGACAUGAGUUUGAGCAAGCUCUGGUAGUUGAUGAUGGACAGGGAGGCCUGGAGUGCUGCAGUCCUUGGGGUUGCAAAGAGUUGGACAUGACUCAGAUACUGAACUGAACUAUCCAUAAGGCCACAUCUUAUCACAAGACAUCAUCUAAUCUAGCUAAGUUCAGACUGGAUGUGUUAAAAAACUAUGAUCAUUUUUUAACCAUAAUCUAAAAUCUCUCUGGAGAACAAUCCUCACUAACCUGUAAGAUCAGUUCAAAUGAUAACCCUUUAUUUUAAAGCUUCUUUAUACUGAAUUCAAAUUUCUUGCAUUUGUUAUUCAUGCUUAUUAGUUUUCAUAUCCUAUCCAUAGGAAAAAAAGAUUAGAAUUUAAAGCUGUUUCUGGUGCUACUGAUCCAGCUACAUAAAACAAAUACUUGACAUGGAAAAAAAAAAAAAAAAAACCAUGAAAAGUGUUGAAAAGCAAAUUAAAAACUGAGAAAAAAUAUUUGGAAUUUAUAUCACAAAGAAUUACUUUAAUAUAAAAAUUGCUUUUAUAAGUCAGUAAGAAAACACCAAUAGUCAAAUAUAUAAGUUGUCUAACAAUCUAAACAGAAAGCUGAGAGAAAGGAAAGUAUAAAUUGUUUUGAAAUAUAUGAAAAGAUCCUCAGUUUUCCAAAAUAAUGCAAGUCAAAUGACAACUCUUUCACCUUUGAGAGUGGCAAAAAUUAAAAAAGAAAAUGGGAGAGAUGGGAAAUAGGCAUUUCUUACACUGUCUGAGUAGGGGUUAUAAAUUGUUACAGCUCUUGUAAAUGGCAAUUUGGAAAAUACUUUUUGACACAGAAAUUCUAUUUCUUGGUUUCUCAACAAUGUAUUGGCACAGAUAUAGAAUGAUACAUAUACAGAGUUAUUAAUUGCAUACUUUUUUGUAUAGCAAAAUACUCAAAAUACCUUAAAUGACUUUUAGUAUAGUAUUGUGUUUUUUUUUUGUUUAAAAAAAAAAAACUGAAGAUCUUGCGUGCUGCUAUGAAAAAAAGUCCACAAGAUACAUUUUAAUAGAAUUAAGCAAAGUACAGAAAAAUGUUUAUAAUGUGCUACUAUAGUUGGACUUAAAAGUGUGGGCUAUCUAUACGCCUAUAUUUUCUUAUAUUUAUAAAGAUUAUUUCUGGAGCAUUUUGUAGGAUGCAGUAACCCUACUUCCCCUUAGGAAGGGAAUUCUAUGAGAGAGGCUACAAGAGCAGGCGAGACAGGCAUAAUUUUACACACUUAUUGUCCCCUUUGAAUAUUGUACCAU